Molecule: ribosomal RNA, 253 nt
Filed under: uncultured bacterium
Lineage: Bacteria
Description: partial 16S ribosomal RNA
Rfam family: Bacterial small subunit ribosomal RNA
Source: RNAcentral
UACGUAGGGUGCAAGCGUUGUCCGGAAUCAUUGGGCGUAAAGAGCGUGUAGGCGGCUCGAUUAGUCCGCUGUAAAAGUCCAGGGCUCAACCCUGGGAUGCCGGUGGAAACUGUCGGGCUAGAGUCCGGGAGAGGCGAGUGGAGUUCCUGGUGUAGCGGUGAAAUGCGCAGAUAUCAGGAGGAACACCGGUGGUGAAGGCGGGUCUCUGGGCCGUAACUGACGCUGAGGAGCGAAAGCAUGGGGAGCGAACAGG